RNAcentral lists this ribosomal RNA (499 nucleotides) under uncultured bacterium. RNAcentral's name for it is "partial 16S ribosomal RNA". It matches the Rfam family "Bacterial small subunit ribosomal RNA", at positions 29 to 523 of the family's 1533-position model. The record is from RNAcentral.
AUUGAACGCUGGCGGCAUGCCUUACACAUGCAAGUCGAACGGCAGCACGGGAGCAAUCCUGGUGGCGAGUGGCGAACGGGUGAGUAAAGUAUCGGAACGUGCCCAGUCGUGGGGGUAAAGGUGCGGAAAGUAAGGCAAAUCCGGCAACGGAUCAAGGGAUGAAACCGGGGAACCGAAAGACCUCGCCGGAUUGGAGCGGCCGAUAUCAGAUUAGGUAGUUGGUGAGGUAAAGGCUCACCAAGCCGACGAUCUGUAGCUGGUCUGAGAGGACGACCAGCCACACUGGGACUGAGACACGGCCCAGACUCCUACGGGAGGCAGCAGUGGGGAAUUUUGGACAAUGGGCGAAAGCCUGAUCCAGCCAUGCCGCGUGCAGGAUGAAGGCCUUCGGGUUGUAAACUGCUUUUGUACGGAACGAAAAGGUUUGGCCUAAUAAGCUGAGCUCAUGACGGUGCCGUAGAAUAAGCACCGGCUAACUACGUGCCAGCAGCCGCUGUAA